This 75-nucleotide transfer RNA is filed under the name Candidatus Brocadia sp. WS118. Its description in RNAcentral is "tRNA-Met". It matches the Rfam family "tRNA". Rfam says of the family: Transfer RNA (tRNA) molecules are approximately 80 nucleotides in length. Their secondary structure includes four short double-helical elements and three loops (D, anti-codon, and T loops). RNAcentral also lists the same sequence under 2 other names. The record is from RNAcentral. Lineage: Bacteria; Pseudomonadati; Planctomycetota; Candidatus Brocadiia; Candidatus Brocadiales; Candidatus Brocadiaceae.
GGCGACGUAGCUCAGAGGCAGAGCAGGGCUCUCAUAAGGCCCGUGUCGGUGGUUCGAUUCCACCCGUCGCCACCA